Molecule: non-coding RNA, 24 nt
Filed under: Arabidopsis thaliana (thale cress)
Lineage: Eukaryota; Viridiplantae; Streptophyta; Magnoliopsida; Brassicales; Brassicaceae
Source: RNAcentral
ACCCAACAUAGAGUUCUCAGAGAG